RNAcentral lists this ribosomal RNA (253 nucleotides) under uncultured bacterium. Its description in RNAcentral is "partial 16S ribosomal RNA". It matches the Rfam family "Bacterial small subunit ribosomal RNA", at positions 524 to 776 of the family's 1533-position model. The record is from RNAcentral.
UACGGAGGGUGCAAGCGUUAUCCGGAUUCACUGGGUUUAAAGGGUGCGUAGGCGGAUUGCCAAGUCCGUGGUGAAAUCUCUGGGCUUAACCCAGAAACUGCCGUGGAUACUGGCAAUCUUGAAUAUCGUGGAGGUAAGCGGAAUAUGUCAUGUAGCGGUGAAAUGCUUAGAUAUGACAUAGAACACCGAUAGCGGAGGCAGCUUGCUACACGAUCAUUGACGCUGAGGCACGAAAGCGUGGGGAGCAAACAGG